GCACCUUCCGAUACGGCUACCUUGUUACGACUUUACCCCAGUCAUGAACCCUGCCGUGGCAGUCGCCCUCCUUGCGGUUAGGCUAACGGCUUCUGGCAAAACCCACUCCCAUGGUAUGACGGGCGGUGUGUACAAGACCCGGGAACGUAUUCACCGCGACAUUCUGAUCCGCGAUUACUAGCGAUUCCAGCUUCACGUAGUCGAGUUGCAGACUACGAUCCGGACUACGAUGCAUUUUCUGAGAUUAGCUCCCCCUCGCGGGUUGGCAACCCUCUGUAUGCACCAUUGUAUGACGUGUGAAGCCCUACCCAUAAGGGCCAUGAGGACUUGACGUCAUCCCCACCUUCCUCCGGUUUGUCACCGGCAGUCUCUUUAGAGUGCUCUUGCGUAGCAACUAAAGACAAGGGUUGCGCUCGUUGCGGGACUUAACCCAACAUCUCACGACACGAGCUGACGACAGCCAUGCAGCACCUGUGUUCACUUUCCCUUACGGGCACCUAAUGUAUCUCUACUUCGUUAGUGACAUGUCAAGGGUAGGUAAGGGUUUUCGCGUUGCAUCGAAUUAAUCCACAUCAUCCACCGCUUGUGCGGGUCCCCGUCAAUUCCUUUGAGUUUUAAUCUUGCGACCGUACUCCCCAGGCGGCUGACUUCACGCGUUAGCUA
This 663-nucleotide ribosomal RNA is filed under the name uncultured bacterium. Its description in RNAcentral is "partial 16S ribosomal RNA". The record is from RNAcentral.